GACGUAGGGCGCGAGCGUUGUCCGGAUUUAUUGGGCGUAAAGAGCUCGUAGGCGGCUUGUCGCGUCGUCCGUGAAAACCUGCGGCUCAACUGCAGGCUGGCGGUCGAUACGGGCAGGCUGGAGUUCGGUAGGGGAGUGUGGAAUUCCCGGUGUAGCGGUGAAAUGCGCAGAUAUCGGGAGGAACACCGGUGGCGAAGGCGGAUCUCUGGGCCUGUCCUGACGCUCAGGCGCGAAAGCUAGGGGAGCAAACA
RNAcentral lists this ribosomal RNA (251 nucleotides) under uncultured bacterium. RNAcentral describes it as "partial 16S ribosomal RNA". It matches the Rfam family "Bacterial small subunit ribosomal RNA", at positions 524 to 774 of the family's 1533-position model. The record is from RNAcentral.